CGAAUCUUUGAACGCACCUUGCACUCUUUGGUAUUCCGAAGAGUAUGUCUGUUUGAGUAUCAUGAAACUCUCAAACCCCCCUAUUUUGUAAUGAAAUGGGCGUGGGCUUGGAUUAUGGUUGUCUGUCGGCGUAAUUGCCGGCUCAACUGAAAUA
RNAcentral lists this ribosomal RNA (154 nucleotides) under fungal sp. CTH-2008. Its description in RNAcentral is "5.8S ribosomal RNA". The stretch from base 1 to 62 matches the Rfam family "5.8S ribosomal RNA", at positions 93 to 154 of the family's 154-position model. Lineage: Eukaryota; Fungi. The record is from RNAcentral.